GAAAAAGCUGAGAGAUGUCAGACUGACAGCCAGUGAAAUGGACAUUCCCCAGCUGGCUAUUCUCACCAAAGUUGAUGAAGCCUGUCCUGCGGCAAAACAGGAUCCCAAAAACAUCUACAAGAGCAAGUACCUGAAAGAACAGGUAAAUCUUUUCUGUUGGUCGACAAAUUUAGCCAGCUGCUGGGACUCCCAGUGAACU
Long non-coding RNA from Oreochromis aureus, 199 nucleotides. RefSeq lists it as uncharacterized. The record is from RefSeq and is a predicted model, not a curated record. The transcript has 3 exons. Lineage: Eukaryota; Metazoa; Chordata; Actinopteri; Cichliformes; Cichlidae.